This 3144-nucleotide long non-coding RNA is filed under the name Salmo salar (Atlantic salmon). Its description in RNAcentral is "lncRNA (ENSSSAG00000115355.1)". Lineage: Eukaryota; Metazoa; Chordata; Actinopteri; Salmoniformes; Salmonidae. The record is from RNAcentral.
UUUAUAAGUUGCUAGCUAUCCCAUAAAGCCACCACCGAAAACCACAUAUUUUCAUCUUCCUCUGAAGACGAUGCAAAGUUUAAAACAAUUCUAAGUAUGCUGCGUCCAUCUAACAACGGAGCCUUCAACAGCAAGGGGGCGUUGUGUUUCCAAUCUGUUGUGGACAUCCCCAUUGAAAUGUAGUACAUCUGGCGCAAUGUAACAGAGUGCUUAUGGGUAAUGCAAACUUUAGAGGCUUUAGGGUUGUCAGACAAUUUUUGGGCCAAACUUAGCUCAAAUUCUACACGUCGGAAUAAAACGAGGCUACAGCGUCCAUAAGGUAACCAUUAAGCCUCGUUCACAUUACCCAUAAGCACUCCAUACAUUGUGCUGGAUGUCAUGCAUUUCAAUGGGGACGUCCACAAUGGAGUGGAAUUACAUCGCCCCCUUGGGGUUGAAGGCGCCGAUGCAAGAAGGACACUACGUAAUUUGACAUUUUCCAAACUUUGUUUUGUCUUCAGUCCAGCCAGAGUCCGAAUGUUACCAAACCACAGAAGAAGAUGAAAAUAUGUGGUUUUCGUUGAUGGAUGAUGGCUGCAAUCCACUCCCAGUUAAGCGGGGUCCGUUCAGGCCUCCGUCAGCUCCACAAUGCCUUGGGGGAUGUGAUGGACAUCCAGAACUCCCUGCCCGGUAGAAGUCAGCAAUGACUGGAGGCAAAACAUUAACACCAUUGAGAACCUGAAGUACGUAAAAUAUGCUGGGACGCAACAUCAGCGGAGGCUCCUCAGAAGAGGAAGGGACAUAAUGCCCUAUUAAUUUGAGCCGGAAUACAGUGAAGAGGAGUUGAGACAGCGAGAACAACAAUUGCGAGACCAGCAAGCAGCGAUGGGGAGCCACGGGCAGACUUUGACUAGUGGUACCUAUGUGGGUGUUGUCCAGCCACGCCGACAGAAGAGAAAUGUCUGUGCUGCAACUAAUUAGAUCGUGGACGGUUCAUACUGGAGAUGGUCACUGCAGACCCCAUGGAUUGUGUGUCUGAUACAGACCAUCAAAGUUUUAAUGCACAUAUGGAUAGAAGUGUGCUGGAGACAUUUUUCAGAACCUCCAAGAUCAAAUGGCGGCGGCAGACUAGACCAGCGGGGUAACAAUACUGCUUGGUGACCUACAGAUUAUUUUUGGAGAUGGUUAUCGGUGCGGAGAAGCUAGGCACAAGACACUGAAUUCCCUGAAAACAUUUCCAGCGCCUACUUCAGUCCAAGUCAAGCACUGGUCUAACUGAAUGUGGAUGUUGUGUUGGCUGAAUGUUCCAGGCACGCUCCAGAAUGUUCUUCUGCUGGUGAACCUUGUCUUGUGUUGGGCAAUGGCAGCUGGUCUGGCAGAAGUUCAUGAGCUCCAUGACCUUGGACUCAUAGACUUUGGCUCUUGCCAGCCCCAUGCAGUCAACCCCAUGCAGUCUUUUCCUCUUCCGAGUCAGAUGAUGUUGAGCUUGAGUUUUUUCCCGGAUGAAAGAUUUCAUCCAAUGGGUCUACAGAAUCUGUACUUCUAAAGCAGAAGCACCAGGAUUAGUCUGUAGGACAUACACUAGUCAGUGAUUAGGCAAUAUUUUACUACUUUGUCCCCAUGAAUACACACUCCGACAAGCUACUAUCUCCACCCUUCACCCUUGUGUCAAUAGAUCAUGCAUACUAACCUUCACACACAGUACCCACUUCCAACAGACACCAGUCACCCACACCAUCCCCUCUUCACGAAGAACUAUGCUUUUCUCCGAUUUACACUUCAAGCUUUGCAUAAACAAUCAAUUAAUGCUGCAAUAUGUAACUUUUUGGGUGACUCACCAAAUUCACAUAAUUUGUUUUAACUAGGCAAGUCAGUUAAGAACAAAAUCAAAUUUGUAAUGAUGGCCAACAGUGGGUUAACUGCCUUGUUCAGGGGCAGAACGACAGAUUUCUAUCUUGUCAGCUUGGGGAUUCGAUCCAGCAACCUAUCAAUUACUGGCCCAAUUCUCUAACCACUAGGCUACCUGCCACCCCGAAAAUGUGAGUUAUAGAUCUGUCAUUCUCAUUGAAAGCAAGUCUAACAAGCGGUAGAUAAACUCUGCAGAAAAAGAAACGUCCUCUCACUGUCAACUGCGUUUAUUUUCAGCAAACUUAACAUGUGUAAAUAUUUGUAAGGACAUAACAAGAUUCAACAACUGAGACGUAAACUGAACAAGUUCCACAGACAUGUGACUAACAGAAAUUGAAUAAUGCAUUUCCACCAGAGCUGUUGCCAGAGAAUUUAAUGUUCAUUUCUCUACCAUAAGUCACCUCCAACGUCGUUUUAGACAAUUUGUCAGUAUGUCCAACUGGCCUCACAACCGCAGACCACGUAUAACCAAGGCAGCCCAGGACUUCCACAUCCGGCUUCUUCACCUGUGGGAUCAUCUGACCAGCCACCCAGACAGCUGAUGAGUCUGAAGAGUAUUUCUGUCUGUAAUAAAGCGCAUUUGUGGGGAAAAAUGUAUUCUGUUUGCCUGGGCAAUGUCCCCCUUUGAAAUCUCAAGAUUAUGGCUUAAUGAAUUUAUUUCAAUUGACUGAUUUCGUUAUAUAAACUGUAACUCGUUGAAAUUGUUGCGUUAGCUUGCAUUAGCUUGCAUUAGCUUGCAAAGGUACAAAUCACAUCGCCAGAUAGCAGCUGGCUAAUUACAUUGAUUUGCUUUGGAAUGUCUAGCCAGUGUAUCAUGAAAUAUAGCUAGAUUUUUGUUUAGAUAAACAAAUGUAGUUCGUUAGGUAGCUAGGUUAGCUAUGUUCCUUCUCCUUGACACAUUAGUAAGGUAACAGAUGAAAUGAUACCCCAACAGGCUGUGCUUGCUUCUAGUUUGCACAUCAAGGUACUGAGCACCCACCAUGACUAAACUUUACAGUUGUUAUCGACAUACAAAGAAAAAGAAAAAGUUAUAUUAUAUGAAUGAGUGGCUGUCCUGUAAGUAACAUUAGCCACCUCAACAGGGGAGGUACUUCGUCCUUAAAUUGCUAUGAAUUCUGGAUAUUGUUGUUUGGUUACAACCAGGAAACACUUUUAUGGUUACUACAUGAUUCCAUACAGUAUGUGUUAUUUCAUAGUUCUGAUGCCGUCACUAUUAUUCUACAGUGUAGAAAAUGGUAAAAAUAAAGAAAAACCCUU